AAUGAAAACAGAAGCUCUCUAUAUACUAAUUUCAACUAUAAAAUUUGUAGUCUUUACAAUAAAACAAUGUCAUGAUAAUUUUAUUUUCAAUACUCAAGCAAAAUCUACUAUGAAACAAUGGAUUUCUUCACUUCAAUUCAUCUGCCACUCUUUACGCACUUCCUUCUAUAGCUUUCUCUCCAAUUCAAUUAUGUAUUUGUUUAUUGGUAGCCUCUUGAAUGGGAUAAGAAAUGAUUGAUGUUGCAACCUAUUGUUUUUUAUAAAUGCACAACAAAUUAAUCAGAAAGUAGUUAAAAUUAGUAAUAAACCUCUUAGUUUACAAACAUACACAUUUUCAUAUAGUGAAUAUUACUAACAGUACAACUUCUUUGGAAGCAUCCUCUUCUUUAUACAGUAGAGGCAAUCAAUUGACGUACUCCAUUACUAACCUUCCAACUCAAGGAACAUGAAUAAUCAUUAAUAGAAAAUAUAAAACUUUAAAAGAGAAUGGUGUUGUUUGGCCAUCAAAUCUACAAGGAUCUUACCAUAAGAUGCCAGAUGCUAAACUUGCUCACUGUGACUCCAUAACAUACACAAAAGACUAACUACAUAUCAACAACCUUAUUUUUCACAUAAUCAAACAGUAAAUCUUUCACUAUACUUAAUUUUCAAACUAUUUUCUCAAAUCUUAAAACAUACAAAAAUACCAAAGCAUGUAAUAGGUAAAUCAUUUUCACUAUAGAGGCAAAUAAAGAUUGUCAAGAAAAGAUUGCUAUAAACUAGUAAAGCCAUCUCACCUAUAAUCAGCAAUAAUACUCCCAAAAUAGAAGCCCCCUAACAUUUGCAGAUUAGUGCCCUUUCUUUUAGAUGAAAGAACAAACUGGAACCAGCUAGUCAACUAAACUUCACACAUUUACACACCAUAGUCAGAUAUAAUUCCAAUCAGCAGAUAAAUUUCAUAAAUGAGCUGAAACCCAAUAAUCAACAUGUCUGCAGGGAAACAAAACAUAAGGCACUCUGAGUCCUCAUGAAAUUAUACAAACACAUGGUUAAACGAAGGGAAAUAAAACUACUUCCGCUGAACUUUGAGCAACAGAUGUAGUUAAUUAAAUAAAGAAUUCAAAAAAGUUGAUAUGGUACACAUCAUAACAAUAUGUAUCAACAGGAUAAUGAGAUGUCAAUUUUACGUUUGAUUAGGUUCUGCACUAAAACAAACAUAUAAAGCUUACCCUUCGACAAACACUGCAGAGUCCUCUCAAUUAAAUCAUCCACAAUACUAACAGUAGAAAGCUUUGUUAUAUGUAUAAUUUUCUGACUCCUCCCAAAGAUAAUUGAACUCAGCAAAUUUGGCAUCUAUAUAAGAGUAGGCAAGGAAGGAUAGUCAUAAGGAAUAGUAUCAACAACCAAGCAGGUUGUAUCAUCCUUCAAACCUCGUGACUUUAGAUCUUCCUGAAUUAUAAGACACUCCAGAAUCUCCUUAGAUGAUUAUUCAAACUAAAAGAACAAUGCUCUGUUUCUCCGGAUGCAGAAAUUGACAAAAUAGAAGCGAAAAUAGAACAAAUCCAACAAAUUAGACGAUUUCAUCUUCUUCGAGUACAUACACUAUCGAUUCCCAACUAUAGAGUACCAAUCAUUAGCCAGUACCAAAAUGGCAAAAUCCACAAUAUAUUAUAAUAAUAAAAUAAAAGAGGGCAACCAUUUUAAAUGCAUUUAAUUAGAAAUUUAGUCGAGUGAACAAAAUAGAAUUAAACACUUACCCAAAAAUGCAGUACCCUUGAUCAAAACAUAAAUAGAUCAGGGUGCUGAAAGUUAUAUUUGUUUUAUCUA
RNAcentral lists this long non-coding RNA (1806 nucleotides) under Nicotiana tabacum (common tobacco). RNAcentral's name for it is "long non-coding RNA (NTAB_LNC001103)". The record is from RNAcentral. Lineage: Eukaryota; Viridiplantae; Streptophyta; Magnoliopsida; Solanales; Solanaceae.